AUGGUAGGAGGUGGGUUGCCUCCCAUCCUCAAAGCCAAGGAUAAGAGCUUUCCAGAGAACCACUCACAGAGGAAAAAUACAUUGGAAAGAGAUGGCAUGAUGGGGGACUGCCAGGCAAAGCAGGGAUCAAAACUGUCUUCACCUGAGGUCAUGGUAUCCUGGAGGUUUGAAAGGUGGAUUCCACAAAAACCUGAAGACCCAGGAAUUGGCUGUGACUUAAUAAAUGGGGCUGGGAAUGGUGGCUUAUACCUGUAA
This 255-nucleotide long non-coding RNA is filed under the name Callithrix jacchus (white-tufted-ear marmoset). RNAcentral describes it as "lncRNA (ENSCJAG00000079252.1)". Lineage: Eukaryota; Metazoa; Chordata; Mammalia; Primates; Cebidae. The record is from RNAcentral.